This 406-nucleotide ribosomal RNA is filed under the name uncultured bacterium. RNAcentral describes it as "partial 16S ribosomal RNA". It matches the Rfam family "Bacterial small subunit ribosomal RNA", at positions 30 to 526 of the family's 1533-position model. The record is from RNAcentral.
AUUGAACGCUGGCGGCAGGCCUAACACAUGCAAGUCGAACGAGUGGCGGACGGGUGAGUAAUGUCUGGGAAACUGACCGAUGGAGAGGGAUAACUAAUGGAAACGGUAGCUAAUAACGCAUACCAUCGGAUGUGCCCAGCUUGGAUUAGCGCGUAGGUGGGGUAAUGGCUCACGUAGGCGACGAUCCCUAGCUGGUCUGAGAGGAUGACCAGCCACACUGGAACUGAGACACGGUCCAGACUCCUACGGGAGGCAGCAGUGGGGAAUAUUGCACAAUGGGCGCAAGCCUGAUGCAGCCAUGCCGCGUGUAUGAAGAAGGCCUUCGGGUUGUAAAGUACUUUCAGCGAGGAGGCGUUACUCGCAGAAGAAGCACCGGCUAACUCCGUGCCAGCAGCCGCGGUAAUUC